This 253-nucleotide ribosomal RNA is filed under the name uncultured bacterium. RNAcentral's name for it is "partial 16S ribosomal RNA". It matches the Rfam family "Bacterial small subunit ribosomal RNA", at positions 524 to 776 of the family's 1533-position model. The record is from RNAcentral.
UACGGAGGGUGCAAGCGUUAUCCGGAUUUACUGGGUUUAAAGGGUGCGUAGGCGGGCCCUUAAGUCAGUGGUGAAAGCUCCGAGCUUAACUCGGAAACUGCCAUUGAUACUAUAGGCCUUGAAUUCGGUCGAGGUUGGCGGAAUGUGUCGUGUAGCGGUGAAAUGCUUAGAUAUGACACAGAACACCGAUUGCGAAGGCAGCUAGCUAGACCGACAUUGACGCUGAGGCACGAAAGCGUGGGGAUCAAACAGG